AACAGCUGAAGGUUAAUUAGCAGUGUUGCUGUAUAUAGUUACUGCUGCCAGUCUCCUUCAGACAA
RNAcentral lists this microRNA precursor (65 nucleotides) under Chelydra serpentina (North American snapping turtle). Its description in RNAcentral is "mir-3084-1". The record is from RNAcentral. Lineage: Eukaryota; Metazoa; Chordata; Testudines; Chelydridae.